GCCAACGUCCAUACCACGUUGAAAACACCGUUUCUCGUCCGAUCACCGAAGUUAAGCAACGUCGGGCGCGGUCAGUACUUGGAUGGGUGACCGCCUGGGAACACCGCGUGACGUUGGCU
This 119-nucleotide ribosomal RNA is filed under the name Operophtera brumata (winter moth). The record is from RNAcentral. Lineage: Eukaryota; Metazoa; Arthropoda; Insecta; Lepidoptera; Geometridae.